RNAcentral lists this ribosomal RNA (478 nucleotides) under uncultured bacterium. RNAcentral describes it as "partial 16S ribosomal RNA". It matches the Rfam family "Bacterial small subunit ribosomal RNA", at positions 28 to 507 of the family's 1533-position model. The record is from RNAcentral.
GAUGAACGCUGGCGGCGUGCUUAACACAUGCAAGUCGAACGAGAAGUGAAGACGGAAACCUUCGGGCGGAAGGCUUUAUUUCGAGUGGCGGACGGGUGAGUAACGCGUGGGUAACCUGCCUCAUACAGGGGGAUAACAGUUGGAAACGACUGUUAAUACCGCAUAAGACCACAGCACCGCAUGGUGCGGGGGUAAAAACUCCGGUGGUAUGAGAUGGACCCGCGUUCGAUUAGCCAGUUGGCGGGGUAACGGCCCACCAAAGCGACGAUCGAUAGCCGAUCUGAGAGGAUGGCCCGCCACAUUGGGACUGGGACACGGCCCAAACUCCUACGGGAGGCAGCAGUGGGGGAUAUUGCACAAUGGGGGAAACCCUGAUGCAGCGACGCCGCGUGAGUGAAGAAGUAUUUCGGUAUGUAAAGCUCUAUCAGCAGGGAAGAAAAUGACGGUACCUGAGGAAGAAGCCCCGGCUAACUACGUG